Molecule: ribosomal RNA, 450 nt
Filed under: uncultured bacterium
Lineage: Bacteria
Description: partial 16S ribosomal RNA
Rfam family: Bacterial small subunit ribosomal RNA
Source: RNAcentral
GCGAACGCUAGCGGCAUGCCUAACACAUGCAAGUCGCACGGGGGGGCUUCGGCCUCCCAGUGGCGGACGGGUGAGGAACGCGUAGGGACCUGUCGAGGGGUGGGGGAUAACCGCGGGAAACUGCGGCUAAUACCGCAUGACGCCGCGGCGUGACAGCCGGGGCCAAAGGCGAAAGCCGCCCGCCGAGGGGCCUGCGUCCGAUUAGCUGGUUGGCGGGGUAGCGGCCCACCAAGGCGUCGAUCGGUAGCUGGUCUGAGAGGGUGAUCAGCCACACCGGGACUGAGACACGGCCCGGACUCCUACGGGAGGCAGCAGUGGGGAAUAUUGGACAAUGGGCGCAAGCCUGAUCCAGCAAUGCCGCGUGGGUGAAGAAGGUCUUCGGAUUGAAAAGCCCUUUCGGCGGGGACGAUGGUGACGGUACCCGCAGAAGAAGCCCCGGCUAACUUCGUG